AAACACUAUGAAUCUUGCCAUAUGCUUCAAGUAUGAGGAGAAGAGAAGUAAUUUUGGCAAACACAUUCUCAAUUCCAUAAAAUGUAGCGUUAUACAACAUUGAUACAAAAGAUAAUAACAACCAAAGUGUGUACAACCUAGUUUUGGUUUAUUAAUGUACUUGAAUAUGACAGUAUAUAGUUUCUUAUUAAACAGUGUCUUCAUUAUUGUUUGGCUUCGAUGUUCUAAGUGAAUAUUGACAUGCCAAAACUGCAUCUUCCAAAUUUAGAUAGAAUGAUUCCUUCCCAACUUUUUCAACAAACUUUGAUGCUAUUAGCUUCUCCAUAACCUCCAACCUAGGGUUUACCAAUGCCAUCUAUAUAAAAAUAUGGUAGAAAAAUAUAUUAAAAAAGAUAAAGUUUUCAUUUUGUGGCUCAAUUUAUUUAUGCAAAUUCAAUUUUGUCACACAACUAAAAAAAAUUAAUUAAAAACAAAGACAUGAAAUGUUUUUUUUUGUUACUAAAUGUAGUGGAAAUAUUAAAGAUAAAUUACAAAGACAUUUUUUUUUUUGAAGAAUAAAUUACAAAGACAUGAAAUGUAUGUGAUACCUGAAUUCCUUUCAUUUCCAAUAUUUUCUGUGUUUCCAAUAAUCCUUCAAUAGCAGUUGUGUCAAUAGAUGACACAGCUGUAUAAGCAUACAAAAAAGAGGGGUAAAUUUUAAUUAGUAAAAAAUUAGUGACAGAUAAAUUAAAUUCAGAUUAAUUUUUAUUUUUGUAAUUAAACUUAGUUGAUGAAAUAAUAAAAUUAACAACAAAUUUUUUUAUUAAGAUUCAUGUAUAUGCAAUAUGAACUGAAUAUUACACACACUAUGAAGGACAGAUAUUCUUCGGAUUAGAGGUAUCCCAGGAUCGGUCACACGACACGACACCGAUACAUAUAAUGACAUUGAAUUAUGUGAUUUUAUCAAAUUAUUAACGGUGUCAGCGUAUCAGUGCUCGUGUUGUGUCCGUAUCCGUAUUUCAUAUUACACAUAUAAUAAAACAACAAGGACUAAAAACAUAUAUAAUUUUCUUUUACCUGUUAAAACGAGUAUGACAUGCUCAACCAUAUCUCCAGAACUGCUUUGUUCACUUUUAAUAUACCUCAAAAUCCUAUUGCACAAUUUUAACAAAUUUUUAGAUUGUUAAAUUAACAUGUCUAUAUCAAUGGAUUAUCAUUAGAUGGUAAUAAAUAAGUGAUUCAAGAUUUAAUUAAUUACCUUUCUUUAAGGUAUGUAGAAUUUGAAAAGUAUAUAGGAGAACCAACUUGUAUAAUUAGAACUCCUGGAAUUGUUGAAGCAUUAGAAUAUUGCUCAACAUCUCUAUAUAAGCCAGAAUCAGGUAACUUUCCAAGCUUGCAUGCUGGUGGUCUUGCUAAAUAUAAUAGUCCUCUAAGUACACCUAGUCCAACCUAGAUUGCAAAUACAUAUAAAAUAAUUAUAAAAAAAAAACUUAAUAAAAUUAAAUUAUGAAAAAUUCAAUUCUAUGUACCAAAAAAAGUUGAAUUAGUGAUCAUGGUUUUAAAUUGUAGUAGCGUUCGUGAUUGCCACAAAAAGAGUAAUGCUAACAACAAUUAUAUGUACGAAAUUGUUGUUGCAGACUGCAAUUCAAAACCAUGUUAUAGAUAGAAAUUAGAGACAUAAAAUGAAAAUCUCGUCUCCAAUUUGGAGUUCGUAACAUGUACGAACAAAAUUGGAGACGAUUUCUUUUUCUUUCUCUAAUAUUUUGUCAUUAAUUCAACUCUUUUUAGGGUUAAGGGAAAAAAAAAUAGAAGUGAGAGAUUAAAUGAAAAAAAAUAAAAAAAUUUGAGUACUCACAGAGAGCAUGAGGCCAAUAUCCAUGCUUAAAAAGGCCACACCCAAGAAUGCACUCAUGCAGAUAAUAAAAUCAAACUUAUCAACUUUAAAGAGAUGAAUAGCUUCUGUAUAGUUUAUCAACCCUAACAUGGCUGAUACAAUGAUAGCUGAUAGAGCAACAAGUGGUGUGUUGCUAAAUAAUGGUGCCAAAAAUUGUAGUGUUAGAGCCAUUAUUACUGCUUGAACCACAUUUGUCAUUGCAGAUUUACAUCCUGCAUUGUAAUUCACAGCCGUCUUGGAAAAUGGUCCUACAAAAAUCAAUUUAAGAGUAAAUAUAUCAGCAUAAAAUAACGAACAUUUUUAUGUCAAAAGAUUAUAUUUGCAGUGUGAUAUAUGUUAAUCAUUAGAUUCGAUUUUUGAAACCUUGAAUUUCUGAUUAUACCUCCUGAAAAUAUCUCUACUCUAUUUUCAAGGCUAAAUUGUUUCUUGCGAUCACUUUACUUAAUUUUAGAUAAUGAUGUAGUCCUUUAUCUUUUCUAUGUCCUUUUGAUCUUUCACUCAUGUUCGAAUAUGAAUUUCAAGCUUUAAAUUUAUGUUUUUCUUUUCAUGUAGCUCUCAUUCUUAAUAUAUGUUAUGCCCUAAAAGAAAAUUAUAGAUUUGAAACUUGAAAAUUCAUAUGCAAACAUGGGAGAAGAACCAAAAUGACGUGAAAAAAGGUAAAUAACCAAAUGAUUGCCUAGAAUUAAGUACGGGACAACGAUAGUAAUUUUGUCAAUUUUCGGUCAUUGCCCUUUUCUAAUAUCAUUGCUAAAUAUUUUUUAUUUGAGGGAUGUAAAUACUAAAAAUAUAUACAUUAUUAUUAUUAUAUAAUUUUUUAGAUGAAACAUAAUUAUUUAUUAUUGAUGACUAUCAGUACAUAAAAAAAGGUAGCUCAUUGCAUGAGAUGAAAUUCAUAGAGUGCAAAUAUUUCCACUAGUUGAGAGAUUGAUUAUAAAAUUAUAACAUGUGACUUUUAGGUCACAUUCACAAGGUAACAAUCUUAUAGUUACACCAAGUCUCAUACUUAGUAUAUAAUGUGAAGAAAAAAAAAAUUAACUUACCACUAGUUAAGUAACAUGAUGUGAAAGAACCAAACAAGUUCAUAAGUCCAAAAGCUAUCAUCUCUUUGUUCCCAUCAUGAGGUGUAUUAGCAGUUACAGAAAAGCUUCUUCCUAUGGCUAUUCCUUCCUACAUAUACAUACAAAAAAAAUUUACUUAAUUGAUAAAAAUAUGUUAAUUAUGGUUUAAAUUAAAGAUAUUUUAAUUAAUUAAUUAAUUAAUUACCGCUAAUGAUAAUACUCCACUGAUUAGGCCAGCUUUCAUUACUGUGGAUAAAUAUCUUCUAUCAAAGGUCAGAAAUUGAAUUGAUAUAGGAUUUAGUCCUUUGUCUAGAUGCCCCACCUACAUAUGUAUAAACAUCAAAUAUCAAAUAUAAGAAGAAAAAAAAUGUUGUAUUUUAUAUAAAUAAGAUACUAAGAAAUUGAAGAAAAAUAAUACUAAUUAUAAGUAACUUACAAUUUGAAUUCCAUGUUGUGUACCUUUCACAAGGUAUGUAAAAACUCCACCAACUACUACACAUGUUAUUGGAGCUAUAGCAGAUACCCAAAAGAGUUUUGGUUUUUUAAGCCUCUGAAAAAUUAUAUUCAAAAGUGAAACUUUAUUAGAAAAUAUAUUUGAAUCCGAAUUGUUGUACUGUCAGAAAAAACAUGCCUUCUUGUAAACAAGAGAUUCUAGCUAUUAGAUGAAGAUCGUACAACUUGUUAAUUUUACAAAACAGAUUUUAAAAUACAAUAUAAAAUACAAGUCGUUAGAUUUUCCUCUAAUAGCUAAGAUCUAUGAUUGGAAAAAUCAUCAUAUCUCAAAAUCAAAGGAUUUUAAAAAUUGAAAAAAAAAUCAGAUAAUUCAUACUUUAAUUUCACUGAAUAGACUUAAAAUAUAACUCGAAAUAUGAAAGACAUAUAAAAUAUUGCUAUUGGUGCCAUAUUUUAUUCAUAGUUUGUGGAAUUAAAAUUCCCUAGAGGUCCACAAGUUUGAGUGGUGCACUAAAAAGUCUUCUAUCUCAAGCCACCUUUUUCUAUGUUCUUCUAACAAAAUAAAUAUGCAAAAGCAAAAGAUGAAAUGAGAUUGACUAUAUAUAUAUAUAUAACUACCAAAUAGAGCACUCACCAAGUGCCUUGUAAAUUGCAAGAAAACAAGGAAGAUUAUUCCAAGAACUGUAGUUUCCCAUCUUAUCUGUUAAAAUAGCAAUAAGAGAAGUUCACCCUUUAUUUCCACACACAAAAGUAUAUAGUUACAACUAUUUUGUCAGAAAAUAAUUUCUCACAAAUAUCUAUUUUAGGGUAAAUAUUUGAACAAAACAUAGCUGCACACUCUUUCUUCUUUUACAACACAUUUUUUUUUUUCUAUUCUCUUUCAUUUCUAGACUUCUAUGUCUAGUUUAGAUGUGUGGCAAAAUCUUUUCCCUUAAAUAAAUAAGAAAAAAGUUUAGUUAGACAUAUUUUGUGCAUGUUUAAUAUUAUGGUAGGUUGACAUGAAUUAUAGUGAGCCACGAUGAUUUUAGAAAAACUAUCUUAUGUAUCUUAACGCAAUAUAGUUUUUGCAAAAUUAUUAUGGUUCAUUGUGGUUUUGGCAGACAUGUAAUUAGUAUUUUACUUCAAAUAUAAAUAAAAUAUGUUUUUUUAAUUUAUUUGUUAAUUAAACAAGGCAUAAGAUGAUACUAACCAUUAUUAUUUAAAAAUCAGUACCCUUAUAAAAAAUAGUGAUUUAGCAUGGUAAUUAAAAAUCUGAUUUAGCAUGGUAAUUAACCUCUUAUUAUUUUGAUCAGUCAAGCCAAAAAAAAAAAACAUUAAUAUUUUGUACAAGAUACUAACCUCAUGUCUAUUGCUAAAGAUGCCCUCUAGCACUGCUACAACGUUGGUUUUGGUUGAAAAAUGUUUCAUUCCAAAAAUACCCUUGAAUUGUUGGAGGAUGAGAAUCACUGCUGUCCCUCCCAUAAAGCCAGUGAUGGUAGAAUGGGAAAAGAAAUCAACCAAUAUCCCAAGCCUACAAAUGUCCUUUCACAAAAUCAGCACCAAACCAACCACACAAAAAAAAGUAGAAUGAAAAUAAUUGAGAUGCAUUUGUCAAAUAGUACUGUUUUAUAUUUUUGUUUUUAUGUUAGAAACAAGACACCAACACCAGACAAAAAACGUAAGUACUUGAAUAUAAUCAUCGUGAUUUGUGACAUAAGUAAACGUUUGAAAGUAACUUUCAUCGUAAUUUGUGUUAGUAUCAGAUGCUGGACACUAAACAAUUGAAAGUAACAUUCAUCGCAAUUUGUGUUAGUAUUUGACAUUGGACACACCUUGAAUUUGGUACUAUUUAAUUUUUAUGAAUGAAAAUCAAAUAAACACGCACAAAACUUGAAGUACUUGAAUAUAACCAUCGUGAUAUCAGACAUCAAAUACGUCUUCAAUCCAUGUGUUACUGUUCUAUAGAUUAGAUAAAUAUCUUACUUUCUUAGUGACAAACAAAGCCAAAACAAAAUCACAUGUCAUCAAAUUAGAGGAAAGUAUUUAUAGGAAAAUGACAUGUUCUAUGUUCUUUUCUUACCUGAAAAAACCUAAACAAGCCUGGAAAACACCAGUGAUAAAGGUUGUUGUGAAAAUCAAGUGAAGAUACAAUGUUGGUUCUGCUAUAGGGUCUGCUACAGUUGAUACUAUGCUAGCAAUAAGCAAUGAUGCUGCUGCUAUUGUCCCAACUGCCAUGUGCCUAGAACUCCCAAAAACAGCAUACACUAAUGGUGGCACAAAGCUUGAAUCUGAUAUAUUUUAAUUCACCAAAAAUCAAAUCAAAAUCACUUGUUAAUUUGUAAAUAGAGAAAAAAAAAAAAAAAAAAAAGAACAUAGGAUUUGAAUAUGGGCAAAACUUAAAUGCAGUACUAGAAUUUUUGUUCUUUUUUUUGUUUUUACAUGUUCACUAGAUUGAGAUUGUAAUUAUAAACUUUAACAAUGGGAUCGGACGGUCAAGUCCCCGCUAUAACCACCGGAAAUCCAAUUUCCUCUUUACACCACCACCAUUAAAAGGGGUAAAAGGAGAAAGAAAAAAAUAUCUAUGAUGUCUCUUCACCCUCUCUUACCGCAAUAUAAUACCGAUUGACAGCAGUAUAUCUCGACUCCUUGAGAGGUUGCCGAGACAUCAAAUAAUACAAAAAAAAAUAUUAUGUAUUUUUUUUCACGUCAUUAAAGUUAAAACGACGUGAAAAGCAAAAUACUUUAGGUUUAAAAGAGUGAAAUGAAAAAUUGAAGUGAUAAUCUCUGCAAUUGCGCGAAGAAGAAAAAAAACCGAAGUAAUUAAGAAUGAAUGUAAUGUAAUAAUAAGAAUGACUUACAAAGGCCAAUGAGAGGAGGAAGAUUAGCAAGUUUGGCAUAACUAAUGCCUUGAGGAAUGGCAAGACUAGCAAUGGUGAGACCAGCAAUUAAGUCAGAGAAAAAUAAUCUCAAAGAAUAAUUUGGUAACCACUCAAAGAUUGGAAUAAAAUAUUGCACCCCUUUAAUCAACCUACGAGAUUUUUUUUCCUCUUCCAUAAUUUGCCUAAAAGGAUCAUCAGGGAAAAGUGCUUCUUUGAACCCAGAUUUCAAUUUUGUCACAAAACCUCUUUGGGUUGAUAAGUUCACCCCAUUAUGAUGAAUCUCUUGCACUUUUGCCAUCAAGAAAUUUUGUGUAGAAUUCAAGAAGAAAAAAACAAAGACAAAAACACAAAAAGGUGUUGUAUUAUUAAGGUUGGAAUGUG
This 6623-nucleotide long non-coding RNA is filed under the name Medicago truncatula (barrel medic). RNAcentral describes it as "lncRNA gene37595". Lineage: Eukaryota; Viridiplantae; Streptophyta; Magnoliopsida; Fabales; Fabaceae. The record is from RNAcentral.